UACGUAGGUGGCAAGCGUUGUCCGGAUUUAUUGGGCGUAAAGCGAGCGCAGGCGGUUCCUUAAGUCUGAUGUGAAAGCCCCCGGCUCAACCGGGGAGGGGCAGUGGAAACUGGGGAACUUGAGUGCAGAAGAGGAGAGUGGAAUUCCAUGUGUAGCGGUGAAAUGCGUAGAUAUAGGGAGGAACACCAGAGGCGAAGGCGACUUUCUGGACUGUAACUGACACUGAGGCUCGAAAGCGUGGGGAGCAAACAGG
Molecule: ribosomal RNA, 253 nt
Filed under: uncultured bacterium
Lineage: Bacteria
Description: partial 16S ribosomal RNA
Rfam family: Bacterial small subunit ribosomal RNA
Source: RNAcentral